GGAAUUCCCACGUUUCAGGACCCACAAGAGAGGAGCCUGUGUGUGGCUGGACAGGAACAGACAAAAUAUCACCAAGAAAAAAGCAGAGAGAAAAAAGAGAUCACCCCCCUUGGAUCCAGCAAUAAUCCUGGGGAGCACACAGGAUCUACCUGCCACGUGUCACCAUCAGCUGAAAAAGAAGUCCUCAAGGAAGGCACUGAACGCUCUGGGAUGCAGG
This is a long non-coding RNA of Calypte anna (Anna's hummingbird), 217 nucleotides long. RefSeq lists it as uncharacterized. The transcript has 3 exons. NCBI's taxonomy places the organism in Eukaryota, Metazoa, Chordata, Aves, Apodiformes, Trochilidae. The record is from RefSeq and is a predicted model, not a curated record.